AUGAUGAAUUUUUUUUUUCUUGGGUUGAAUCUAAUAGUUUAAAUAAAAACAAAAUAUACACUUGAAAAGUGU
RNAcentral lists this transfer RNA (72 nucleotides) under Parakontikia atrata. RNAcentral describes it as "tRNA-Phe". Lineage: Eukaryota; Metazoa; Platyhelminthes; Tricladida; Geoplanidae. The record is from RNAcentral.